Molecule: ribosomal RNA, 427 nt
Filed under: uncultured bacterium
Lineage: Bacteria
Description: partial 16S ribosomal RNA
Rfam family: Bacterial small subunit ribosomal RNA
Source: RNAcentral
GUGGGGAAUAUUGGGCAAUGGGGGAAACCCUGACCCAGCAACGCCGCGUGAAGGAAGAAGGCUUUCGGGUUGUAAACUUCUUUUAUGAGGGACGAAGAAGUGACGGUACCUCAUGAAUAAGCCACGGCUAACUACGUGCCAGCAGCCGCGGUAAUACGUAGGUGGCAAGCGUUGUCCGGAUUUACUGGGUGUAAAGGGCGCGUAGGCGGGAUAGCAAGUCAGGUGUGAAAUCCGGGGGCUUAACCCUCGAACUGCACUUGAAACUGUUAUUCUUGAGGGAUGGAGAGGCAAGCGGAAAUCCUAGUGUAGCGGUGAAAUGCGUAGAUAUUAGGAGGAACACCAGUGGCGAAGGCGGCUUGCUGGACAUUAACUGACGCUGAGGCGCGAAAGCGUGGGGAGCAAACAGGAUUAGAAACCCGGGUAGUCC